GACGAACGCUGGCGGCGUGCCUAACACAUGCAAGUCGAACGGAGAUACGAUUUCGGUUGUAUCUUAGUGGCGAACGGGUGAGUAACGCGUGAACAACCUGACUCUUAGAGGGGGAUAACACUCGGAAACGGGUGCUAAUACCGCAUAAGACCACGACCCGGCAUCGGGAUGAGGUCAAAGGAGCAAUCCGCUGAGAGAGGGGUUCGCGUCCCAUUAGAUAGAUGGCGGGGUAACGGCCCACCAUGUCAACGAUGGGUAGCCGAGCUGAGAGGCUGAUCGGCCACACUGGAACUGAGACACGGUCCAGACUCCUACGGGAGGCAGCAGUGGGGAAUAUUGGGCAAUGGGCGCAAGCCUGACCCAGCAACGCCGCGUGAGGGAAGAAGGCUUUCGGGUUGUAAACCUCUGUCCUUGGUGACGAAAAAAGUGACGGUAGCCAAGGAGGAAGCCCCGGCUAACUACGUGCCAGCAGCCGCCGUAA
Molecule: ribosomal RNA, 481 nt
Filed under: uncultured bacterium
Lineage: Bacteria
Description: partial 16S ribosomal RNA
Rfam family: Bacterial small subunit ribosomal RNA
Source: RNAcentral